CUUUCAACAAGAAAAAAUAAGUUGUUUACUGUAGAUGGAUAAAGGUCAACAGAUGCGCAAUUUUCAGCUGUCAGAAAUGUGUUGUGAUCACUUGUAUUCCUCAUAGCACUCAGGCUGUGAGGAAAUCAGCAGCCCGCGAUCGCAGCUCCUAUGAUGUGAACGCGCAAAGAGCGCAAAGCUCAAAGCCGGACAAUGAUGUUGUAGUAAAGCCCUCAGGACUACUCUGCAUGUAUUAACUGUGGCUAAACAUCAACUGCACUGAAGUCAUCAUAACUUCAGAAGUUCUUAUUUUCAAAUGAUUAUGAAUACUAUUAUUGUUAUUUGAAGCUGUGUCAGUCUUGACUGUGGGUGGUGUGGUCCUCUGUGUCUGCUAGUGUCUAUAAUACAGUAAUAUUUUUGUCGACAUUAUCAAACGGAAGAACUUUUAUUUUGAAACGCACAGGGCAACGAAGCACACUAGCCAAUAAGAGGACCCGCCCACCGGCGGAAACCAGAUAUUGAGUGGUAAAUUCGUUUUGUUAAGAAGAACCAAAAAACGAAUUAACGAACUGAAAUUUUGAUUCGUUUUUUUUGACAAAACGAAAAAACGACAAAACGGCUGGUUUUUGGUUUCUGCUUAUGUCAAUUAUUCCCAGAAAACAGAGUAAUAAAACGUACCUUGCUCGAUUCAGUCGGUUAUCCUGAAAUUUGAUAAUUGGAUCACAGUGAUCCAAUCCAAUGUUCCUUUAAAAACUGACAUAAAAGUAAGAUGGAUCAGGUAAUCCUGGAUAGCAAAACAUGGGAUUUCCAAAUCCGGAUCAAUUUCAUCCCGAUUAAAUUUUUGGAAAAACUGGGCUCUGAUAAACAGGAUUUGGUAUCCUUAAAUUUGGAUCACAGUGAUCCCAUCAAAUGUUCCUUUUAAAAACGGUCAUAAAAGUAAGAUGGAUCAGGUAAUCCUGGAUAGCAAACAUGGGAUUUCCAAAUCCGGAUCAAUUUCAUCCCGAUUACAUUUUUGGAAAAACUGGGCUCAGGUAAACAGGAUUUGGUAUCCUUAAAUUUGGAUCACAUUGAUCCCAUCAAAUGUUCCUUUAAAAAACGGUCAUAAAA
Gadus macrocephalus (Pacific cod) is the source of this 1086-nucleotide long non-coding RNA. RefSeq lists it as uncharacterized. The transcript has 2 exons. Lineage: Eukaryota; Metazoa; Chordata; Actinopteri; Gadiformes; Gadidae. The record is from RefSeq and is a predicted model, not a curated record.